Micropterus salmoides (largemouth bass) is the source of this 316-nucleotide long non-coding RNA. RefSeq lists it as uncharacterized. The transcript has 2 exons. The record is from RefSeq and is a predicted model, not a curated record. Lineage: Eukaryota; Metazoa; Chordata; Actinopteri; Centrarchiformes; Centrarchidae.
AUACACAGCAGCACGUGUUUUUCCGCCUCCCGUCGGCAGCCAAAUAAUUGUGUUCUCUCCCAGAAGAGCCCUUUCGACCACUUCCUUCUGCUUCGCCUUGUCCACUGCCACCAAACAGUGCAGUUGGUGGGGGUUUUAAAUUCUGUUGCGAUCAGCUGUGUGACGCGGAGGCACGGAAACGAAAAUGAAAGACUUUGAACUCUGAAAAAUGGCCCCACUGAGGGAGGCUCUGGAGGAACAACAUAUAGUCUUCCUUUUGCAGUGACUGGGGAAGACUGAAAUACAGUGACAUAAAAUUGGUCUUUUUUAAAUGAAA